GUGGGUAUAGCUCAGUGGAACAGUGGGUCCUUAGUAUGCACAAGGUCCUGGGUUCAACCCCCAGUACCUUCA
RNAcentral lists this transfer RNA (72 nucleotides) under Camelus bactrianus (Bactrian camel). It matches the Rfam family "tRNA". Rfam says of the family: Transfer RNA (tRNA) molecules are approximately 80 nucleotides in length. RNAcentral also lists the same sequence under 2 other names. The record is from Rfam by way of RNAcentral. Lineage: Eukaryota; Metazoa; Chordata; Mammalia; Artiodactyla; Camelidae.